Molecule: ribosomal RNA, 468 nt
Filed under: uncultured bacterium
Lineage: Bacteria
Description: bacterial SSU rRNA
Rfam family: Bacterial small subunit ribosomal RNA
Source: RNAcentral
CACCCAGACUCCUACGGGAGGCAGCAGUGAGGAAUAUUGGUCAAUGGGCGGGAGCCUGAACCAGCCAAGUCGCGUGAGGGAAGACGGUCCUACGGGUUGUAAACCUCUUUUGCCGGGGAGCAAGCCUGAGCACGUGUGCCCAGGCGGAGAGUACCCGGAGAAAAAGCAUCGGCUAACUCCGUGCCAGCAGCCGCGGUAAUACGGAGGGUGCGAGCGUUAAUCGGAAUUACUGGGCGUAAAGCGCUCGUAGGCGGUAUGUCAAGUCAAGGGUGAAAUCCCCGCGCUCAACGUGGGAACUGCCUUUGAAACUGGCAAACUGGAGUGUGUGAGAGGAUAGUGGAAUUCCAGGUGUAGGAGUGAAAUCCGUAGAUAUCUGGAGGAACAUCAGUGGCGAAGGCGACUAUCUGGCACAUAACUGACGCUGAGGAGCGAAAGCGUGGGUAGCAAACAGGAUUAGAUACCCGUGUA